Molecule: ribosomal RNA, 1333 nt
Filed under: uncultured bacterium
Lineage: Bacteria
Description: bacterial SSU rRNA
Rfam family: Bacterial small subunit ribosomal RNA
Source: RNAcentral
GACGAACGCUGGCGGCGCGCCUAACACAUGCAAGUCGAACGAGCGAGAGAGAGCUUGCUUUCUCAAGCGAGUGGCGAACGGGUGAGUAACGCGUGAGGAACCUGCCUCAAAGAGGGGGACAACAGUUGGAAACGACUGCUAAUACCGCAUAAGCCCACGGCUCGGCAUCGAGCAGAGGGAAAAGGAGCAAUCCGCUUUGAGAUGGCCUCGCGUCCGAUUAGCUAGUUGGUGAGGUAACGGCCCACCAAGGCGACGAUCGGUAGCCGGACUGAGAGGUUGAACGGCCACAUUGGGACUGAGACACGGCCCAGACUCCUACGGGAGGCAGCAGUGGGGAAUAUUGCACAAUGGGGGAAACCCUGAUGCAGCGACGCCGCGUGGAGGAAGAAGGUCUUCGGAUUGUAAACUCCUGUUGUUGAGGAAGAUAAUGACGGUACUCAACAAGGAAGUGACGGCUAACUACGUGCCAGCAGCCGCGGUAAAACGUAGGUCACAAGCGUUGUCCGGAAUUACUGGGUGUAAAGGGAGCGCAGGCGGGAAGACAAGUUGGAAGUGAAAUCCAUGGGCUCAACCCAUGAACUGCUUUCAAAACUGUUUUUCUUGAGUAGUGCAGAGGUAGGCGGAAUUCCCGGUGUAGCGGUGGAAUGCGUAGAUAUCGGGAGGAACACCAGUGGCGAAGGCGGCCUACUGGGCACCCACUGACGCAGAGGCUCGAAAGUGUGGGUAGCAAACAGGAUUAGAUACCCUGGUAGUCCACACUGUAAACGAUGAUUACUAGGUGUUGGAGGAUUGACCCCUUCAGUGCCGCAGUUAACACAAUAAGUAAUCCACCUGGGGAGUACGACCGCAAGGUUGAAACUCAAAGGAAUUGACGGGGGCCCGCACAAGCAGUGGAGUAUGUGGUUUAAUUCGACGCAACGCGAAGAACCUUACCAAGUCUUGACAUCCUGCGACGGUGCUGGAAACAGAACUUUCCUUCGGGACGCAGAGACAGGUGGUGCAUGGUUGUCGUCAGCUCGUGUCGUGAGAUGUUGGGUUAAGUCCCGCAACGAGCGCAACCCUUAUGGUCAGUUACUACGCAAGAGGACUCUGGCCAGACUGCCGUUGACAAAACGGAGGAAGGUGGGGAUGACGUCAAAUCAUCAUGCCCUUUAUGACUUGGGCUACACACGUACUACAAUGGCGUUAAACAAAGAGAAGCAAGACCGCGAGGUGGAGCAAAACUCAGAAACAACGUCCCAGUUCGGACUGCAGGCUGCAACUCGCCUGCACGAAGUCGGAAUUGCUAGUAAUCGCAGAUCAGCAUGCUGCGGUGAAUACGUUCCCGGGCCUU